UACGAAUGGGGCAAGCGUUGUUCGGAAUCACUGGGCUUAAAGCGUGCGCAGGCGGUCAUGAAAGUCAGAAGUGAAAUCCCAGGGCUUAACCCUGGAAUUGCUUUUGAAACUCCAUGACUAGAAUACUGGAGAGGUUAGCAGAAUUCCGAGUGUAGAGGUGAAAUUCGCAGAUAUUCGGAGGAAUACCAAUGGCGAAGGCAGCUAACUGGACAGUAAUUGACGCUCAGGCACGAAAGCGUGGGUAGCAAACAGG
RNAcentral lists this ribosomal RNA (253 nucleotides) under uncultured prokaryote. RNAcentral's name for it is "partial 16S ribosomal RNA". It matches the Rfam family "Bacterial small subunit ribosomal RNA", at positions 524 to 776 of the family's 1533-position model. The record is from RNAcentral.